Molecule: ribosomal RNA, 465 nt
Filed under: Vreelandella stevensii
Lineage: Bacteria; Pseudomonadati; Pseudomonadota; Gammaproteobacteria; Oceanospirillales; Halomonadaceae
Description: partial 16S ribosomal RNA
Rfam family: Bacterial small subunit ribosomal RNA
Source: RNAcentral
CCUACGGGUGGCAGCAGUGGGGAAUAUUGGACAAUGGGGGGAACCCUGAUCCAGCCAUGCCGCGUGUGUGAAGAAGGCCCUCGGGUUGUAAAGCACUUUCAGUGAGGAAGAACGCCUGGUGGUUAAUACCCAUCAGGAAAGACAUCACUCACAGAAGAAGCGCCGGCUAACUCCGUGCCAGCAGCCGCGGUAAUACGGAGGGUGCGAGCGUUAAUCGGAAUUACUGGGCGUAAAGCGCGCGUAGGUGGCUUGAUAAGCCGGUUGUGAAAGCCCCGGGCUCAACCUGGGAACGGCAUCCGGAACUGUCAAGCUAGAGUGCAGGAGAGGAAGGUAGAAUUCCCGGUGUAGCGGUGAAAUGCGUAGAGAUCGGGAGGAAUACCAGUGGCGAAGGCGGCCUUCUGGACUGACACUGACACUGAGGUGCGAAAGCGUGGGUAGCAAACAGGAUUAGAUACCCGUGUAGUC